RNAcentral lists this ribosomal RNA (740 nucleotides) under Escherichia coli. RNAcentral describes it as "partial 23S ribosomal RNA". It matches the Rfam family "Bacterial large subunit ribosomal RNA", at positions 522 to 1261 of the family's 2925-position model. The record is from RNAcentral. Lineage: Bacteria; Pseudomonadati; Pseudomonadota; Gammaproteobacteria; Enterobacterales; Enterobacteriaceae.
AACCCCGGCGAGGGGAGUGAAAAAGAACCUGAAACCGUGUACGUACAAGCAGUGGGAGCACGCUUAGGCGUGUGACUGCGUACCUUUUGUAUAAUGGGUCAGCGACUUAUAUUCUGUAGCAAGGUUAACCGAAUAGGGGAGCCGAAGGGAAACCGAGUCUUAACUGGGCGUUAAGUUGCAGGGUAUAGACCCGAAACCCGGUGAUCUAGCCAUGGGCAGGUUGAAGGUUGGGUAACACUAACUGGAGGACCGAACCGACUAAUGUUGAAAAAUUAGCGGAUGACUUGUGGCUGGGGGUGAAAGGCCAAUCAAACCGGGAGAUAGCUGGUUCUCCCCGAAAGCUAUUUAGGUAGCGCCUCGUGAAUUCAUCUCCGGGGGUAGAGCACUGUUUCGGCAAGGGGGUCAUCCCGACUUACCAACCCGAUGCAAACUGCGAAUACCGGAGAAUGUUAUCACGGGAGACACACGGCGGGUGCUAACGUCCGUCGUGAAGAGGGAAACAACCCAGACCGCCAGCUAAGGUCCCAAAGUCAUGGUUAAGUGGGAAACGAUGUGGGAAGGCCCAGACAGCCAGGAUGUUGGCUUAGAAGCAGCCAUCAUUUAAAGAAAGCGUAAUAGCUCACUGGUCGAGUCGGCCUGCGCGGAAGAUGUAACGGGGCUAAACCAUGCACCGAAGCUGCGGCAGCGACGCUUAUGCGUUGUUGGGUAGGGGAGCGUUCUGUAAGCCUGUGAAGGUGUGC